RNAcentral lists this transfer RNA (86 nucleotides) under Acidobacteriota bacterium. Its description in RNAcentral is "tRNA-Ser". It matches the Rfam family "tRNA". From Rfam's summary of the family: Transfer RNA (tRNA) molecules are approximately 80 nucleotides in length. Lineage: Bacteria; Pseudomonadati; Acidobacteriota. The record is from RNAcentral.
GGAGGAUUAGGCUAAUUGGUAAGUCAGCGGUCUUGAAAACCGCCGCGCGAAAGCGCUUGGGGGUUCGAGUCCCUCAUCCUCCGCCA